AGGUCGUGGUGUGGGUAUGCUCUUUACAGGUCUUUAAACCUAUUCCAUGCUUCCUUCAGUGUCUCAUCACGUUCUUGUUAGAAGGUAGCAAUUUUAUGUCUGAAUUC
This is a small nucleolar RNA of Beta vulgaris subsp. vulgaris (sugar beet), 107 nucleotides long. It matches the Rfam family "Plant small nucleolar RNA R71". Rfam says of the family: R71 is a member of the C/D box family of snoRNAs containing the C (UGAUGA) and D (CUGA) box motifs. Lineage: Eukaryota; Viridiplantae; Streptophyta; Magnoliopsida; Caryophyllales; Amaranthaceae. The record is from Rfam.